RNAcentral lists this ribosomal RNA (420 nucleotides) under Fusobacteriota bacterium. RNAcentral describes it as "Fusobacteria bacterium partial 16S ribosomal RNA". It matches the Rfam family "Bacterial small subunit ribosomal RNA", at positions 355 to 776 of the family's 1533-position model. Lineage: Bacteria; Fusobacteriati; Fusobacteriota. The record is from RNAcentral.
UGGGGGAUAUUGCACAAUGGGCGAAAGCCUGAUGCAGCGACGCCGCGUGGGGGAUGAAGGCCUUCGGGUUGUAAACUUCUUUUGCUCUGAACAAGGCAUGCCUUUGGGGUGUGUUGAGUGUAGGGGUUGAUUAGCGCCGGCUAACUACGUGCCAGCAGCCGCGGUAAUACGUAGGGCGCGAGCGUUGUCCGGAAUUAUUGGGCGUAAAGGGCUUGUAGGUGGCUGGUUGCGUCUGUCGUGAAAGCUCAUGGCUUAACUGUGGGUUUGCGGUGGGUACGGGCUGGCUUGAGUGCAGUAGGGGAGGCUGGAAUUCCUGGUGUAGCGGUGGAAUGCGCAGAUAUCAGGAGGAAUACCGGUGGCGAAGGCGAGUCUCUGGGCUGUUACUGACGCUGAGGAGCGAAAGCGUGGGGAGCGAACAGG